CCUUGACUCUGGGAUAAGCCUGGGAAACUGGGUCUAAUACCGGAUACGACCGCUCCACGCAUGUGGUGGUGGUGGAAAGCUUUUGCGGUUUUGGAUGGACUCGCGGCCUAUCAGCUUGUUGGUGGGGUAAUGGCCUACCAAGGCGACGACGGGUAGCCGGCCUGAGAGGGUGACCGGCCACACUGGGACUGAGACACGGCCCAGACUCCUACGGGAGGCAGCAGUGGGGAAUAUUGCACAAUGGGCGGAAGCCUGAUGCAGCGACGCCGCGUGAGGGAUGACGGCCUUCGGGUUGUAAACCUCUUUCAGUAGGGAAGAAGCGUAAGUGACGGUACCUGCAGAAGAAGCGCCGGCUAACUACGUGCCAGCAGCCGCGGUAAUACGUAGGGCGCAAGCGUUAUCCGGAAUUAUUGGGCGUAAAGAGCUCGUAGGCGGUUUGUCGCGUCUGCUGUGAAAGACCGGGGCUCAACUCCGGUUCUGCAGUGGGUACGGGCAGACUA
RNAcentral lists this ribosomal RNA (500 nucleotides) under Arthrobacter sp. RNAcentral describes it as "bacterial SSU rRNA". It matches the Rfam family "Bacterial small subunit ribosomal RNA", at positions 130 to 643 of the family's 1533-position model. Lineage: Bacteria; Bacillati; Actinomycetota; Actinomycetes; Micrococcales; Micrococcaceae. The record is from RNAcentral.